GAUGAAGAACGCAGCGAAAUGCGAUACGUAAUGUGAAUUGCAGAAUUCAGUGAAUCAUCGAAUCUUUGAACGCACAUUGCGCCCGCCAGUAUUCUGGCGGGCAUGCCUGUCCGAGCGUCAUUUCAACCCUCGAACCCCUCCGGGGGGUCGGCGUUGGGGAUCGGCCCUGCCUUUGGCGGUGGCCGUCUCCGAAAUACAGUGGCGGUCUCGCCGCAGCCUCUCCUGCGCAGUAGUUUGCACACUCGCAUCGGGAGCGCGGCGCGUCCACAGCCGUUAAACACCCAACUUCUGAAAUGUUGACCUCGGAUCAGGUAGGAAUACCCGCUGAACUUAAGCAUAUCAAUAAGCGGAGGA
Molecule: unclassified non-coding RNA, 354 nt
Filed under: soil metagenome
Description: partial contains 5.8S ribosomal RNA, internal transcribed spacer 2, and large subunit ribosomal RNA
Rfam family: 5.8S ribosomal RNA (bases 1-120)
Source: RNAcentral